GUGUGCCUACGGGAGGCAGCAGUGGGGAAUAUUGCACAAUGGGGGAAACCCUGAUGCAGCAACGCCGCGUGAAGGAAGACGGUUUUCGGAUUGUAAACUUCUGUUCUUAGUGAAGAAAAAUGACGGUAGCUAAGGAGCAAGCCACGGCUAACUACGUGCCAGCAGCCGCGGUAAUACGUAGGUGGCAAGCGUUGUCCGGAAUUACUGGGUGUAAAGGGAGCGCAGGCGGGAAGGCAAGUCCGCUGUGAAAACUACGGGCUUAACUUGUCGACUGCAGUUGGAACUGGUUUUCUUGAGUGAAGUAG
This 305-nucleotide ribosomal RNA is filed under the name uncultured bacterium. RNAcentral's name for it is "bacterial SSU rRNA". It matches the Rfam family "Bacterial small subunit ribosomal RNA", at positions 333 to 654 of the family's 1533-position model. The record is from RNAcentral.